AGCAGCCGCGGUAAUUCCAGCUCCAAUAGCGUAUAUUAAAGUUGUUGCAGUUAAAAAGCUCGUAGUUGAAUUUCGGGAUCAAUAUGUUGGUCGUGCCUCGGUACGUACUAGCUUAUUGGUUUCUCCUUUCUGAAGAACCAUGAUGUCAUUUAUUUGGUGUCGUGGGGAAUCAGGACUGUUACUUUGGAAAAAUUAGAGUGUUUAAAGCAGGCUCACGCUUGAAUACAUUAGCAUGGAAUAAUGAAAUAGGACGUUUGAUUCUAUUUUGUUGGUUUCUAGGAUCGACGUAAUGAUUAAUAGGGAUAGUUGGGGGCAUUAGUAUUCAAUUGUCAGAGGUGAAAUUCUUGGAUUUAUUGAAGACUAACUACUGCGAAAGCAUUUGCCAAGGAUGUUUUCAUUAAUCAAGAACGAAAGUUAGGGGAUCGAAGACGAUCAGAUACCGUCGUAGUCUUAACCAUAAACUAUGGCGACUAGGGAUCGGAUGAUGUUAAUUUUUUAAU
This 500-nucleotide unclassified non-coding RNA is filed under the name uncultured Glomus. Its description in RNAcentral is "SSU rRNA". It matches the Rfam family "Eukaryotic small subunit ribosomal RNA", at positions 569 to 1075 of the family's 1831-position model. Lineage: Eukaryota; Fungi; Glomeromycota; Glomeromycetes; Glomerales; Glomeraceae. The record is from RNAcentral.